CAGCUUGGGAAGGGUUAAAGGUAACAUACAUGGGUGGUGCACCAUCCGCGCCAUGGUUAAUCUGGGUAUACCCCUGGGGGAUGGAGCGCCGUUGUGGUUGUCUGCUCCCCCCUAAGUGGGGUGAGCCCUGGUCCACAACAACGACCUCCUCGGGCACCACCGGGCCGCGGUGCAGGGUGGUCUCAGGGGUGGCUGUAAUAGGGAGGCCAGCAGCGGGAGAGGUAGUUGGGUGGAAGCCCGAGGCCUGGGGGGAGGCACCCAUCGCAUAGGGCUGGUCCGAUGUCACUGACACCUCGGACCCAACCACCAUGAUUGGGUAACUGGGACUGGCGGGAGGGGCGUGAGGGACCAAUGCCGUGGAGGGGGCUGUCAUGGGGGCCGGAUGGGGUGGGCGUGAGAGGUGGGUGUUCAGGACGUGAGCAAGGGCAGUGAUUGGAUCGGAAGGCU
Non-coding RNA from Pelobates cultripes (western spadefoot toad), 447 nucleotides. Lineage: Eukaryota; Metazoa; Chordata; Amphibia; Anura; Pelobatidae. The record is from the annotation of a GenBank genome assembly.